GACGAACGCUGGCGGCGUGCUUAACACAUGCAAGUCGAACGGAAAGGCCCUGCUUUUGUGGGGUGCUCGAGUGGCGAACGGGUGAGUAACACGUGAGUAACCUGCCCUUGACUUUGGGAUAACUUCAGGAAACUGGGGCUAAUACCGGAUAGGAGCUCCUGCUGCAUGGUGGGGGUUGGAAAGUUUCGGCGGUUGGGGAUGGACUCGCGGCUUAUCAGCUUGUUGGUGGGGUAGUGGCUUACCAAGGCUUUGACGGGUAGCCGGCCUGAGAGGGUGACCGGCCACAUUGGGACUGAGAUACGGCCCAGACUCAUACGGGAGGCAGCAGUGGGGAAUAUUGCACAAGGGGCGGAAGCCUGAUGCAGCAACGCCGCGUGCGGGAAGACGGCCUUCGGGUUGUAAACCGCUUUCGCCUGUGACGAAGCGUGAGUGACGGUAAUGGGUAAAGAAGCACCGGCUAACUACGU
This 467-nucleotide ribosomal RNA is filed under the name uncultured bacterium. RNAcentral describes it as "partial 16S ribosomal RNA". It matches the Rfam family "Bacterial small subunit ribosomal RNA", at positions 28 to 506 of the family's 1533-position model. The record is from RNAcentral.